GAUGGUGAUGUGAUGACUAAUCUUUUUUCCCCAGCAGAUCGACUAUGUUGACCAUAGCUAAACUCUAAGCCAAUUUUGUCUGAUUCACCAGU
Small nucleolar RNA from Sardina pilchardus (European sardine), 92 nucleotides. RefSeq annotates it as small nucleolar SNORD12/SNORD106. NCBI's taxonomy places the organism in Eukaryota, Metazoa, Chordata, Actinopteri, Clupeiformes, Clupeidae. The record is from RefSeq and is a predicted model, not a curated record. The transcript has a single exon.